Long non-coding RNA from Drosophila miranda, 906 nucleotides. RefSeq lists it as uncharacterized. The transcript has 4 exons. Lineage: Eukaryota; Metazoa; Arthropoda; Insecta; Diptera; Drosophilidae. The record is from RefSeq and is a predicted model, not a curated record.
GCCGCUUGAAAUCCGCGUGUACCAGGACUGGUGCCGAGGGCGUCUGUGAGCGGACCGGCCAUCUCAGCAUAGUUUUUCAUAAAGCGCCGGUACCAGCCCGCAGUUCCCAGGAAACUACGCAAUUCUCGAUAAGAUCGCGGCUCGGGAAUGCGCAAAAUGGCCGACACACGAUCCGGAUCCAUCUUCAGCGCUCCUCCUCCCAUUAUAAAUCCCAGACGCUCGGCAACCUGUCGCAGAAUCUUCACGUGCGUUUGGAAGUCAUCAGCUAUAAUCAGCAAGUCGUCGAAAUACGCAUAGACGUUUGAACGCAUCUCAACCGGAAUCACCUUAUCGACCAGUCUACAUAGGCGUUGUGCGGCGUUGCAGAGGCCAAAGGGCAUCAUACGGAACUGGUACAGAGGCCGUCCCUGCACCGUGAACGCCGUAUAUGGUCGACUCUGCUCGUCCAGCUCGAUUUGCCAAAAAGCUAAUUUUAAUUCGACGCUGGAGAUAUAUAUAGUCUGAUCGAGACGCGACAAAAUCCCCUCGAUGCUAGGAAGUGGGUAAGCGUCCUUGAUGGUUACUUUGUUGAGCUUUCGGGCAUCGAGGCAGAAACGAUUUUUGCCCGGCCUUCGCACCACGGUUGCUCCACGGACUAUCACUGUACUCGAUGACUCCCAAAGCCAACAUUUUGUCCACCUCACCACACACCACUUCCUGCAUCGCUGGCGACAGCGGGUAAUGUCGAUCCUUCACAGGCUCGUCCUUCGCCACCAACUGAAUUUUGCCCCUUCUGUGAGCGUGAUUCGCCUGCUUGGAUCGCACCCCUCUUCACGUUUCCCGCUCAAUUCGGACAGGUUGGACAAUAUGCAUCGGGCUUUCCACACCGGUAGCAGAAAUUCGCCUCUCCGAUGCCAUACAGUCCCU